Molecule: non-coding RNA, 72 nt
Organism: Pangasius djambal
Lineage: Eukaryota; Metazoa; Chordata; Actinopteri; Siluriformes; Pangasiidae
Source: the annotation of a GenBank genome assembly
AGCGGAGUGGUGCAGCGGAAGUGUGCUGGGCCCAUAACCCAGCAGUUGAUGGAUCAACCCUGUCCUCUGCUA